AAAAGAUGGAGAAAUGGUGUCAUCUUCUCCAUAGUUGCUGCCAAAUUUUGGAAGACACCAUAGCUAGGGUUUCUUUGCUUUCUCAAGCUCAUAAUCAAGAAAAACGGGAAGAUUAUCUCAAACGAGGAAAAGAAAAGAUAGUUGAGUGAAUUGCAAAAUUACGAUAUUUUGCACCGAGUGAUUUCCAUCAACUCGGAAUUUGGACGGAGUCAGACAAUCAUCUACACUAUCAUCCACGUUUGAGUAUUUUGGCUACUAGUAUUCUGGAAAUUAUGGCAUGUAUAGACGACUUAUGUAAUGGGGCGUCACCAUGUAAAUAUAUGUUAUGGUUCGAUUUAAAAUGUAGUGUUUAUUAAUGGUUAAAUUUUGUAUGUUUGUACAACUGAACUUGGUUGGAAUAUUGAAUUGUGUUGAAAACUUGCAGGAGGUUUAAGCAA
Gossypium raimondii (Peruvian cotton) is the source of this 437-nucleotide long non-coding RNA. RefSeq lists it as uncharacterized. The transcript is spliced from 3 exons. The record is from RefSeq and is a predicted model, not a curated record. NCBI's taxonomy places the organism in Eukaryota, Viridiplantae, Streptophyta, Magnoliopsida, Malvales, Malvaceae.